UCCCUGGUGGUCCAGUGGUUAAGACUCUGUGCUUCUACUGCAGGGGGUAUGGGUUCAAUUCCUGGUUGAGGAA
Molecule: transfer RNA, 73 nt
Filed under: Bos taurus (domestic cattle)
Lineage: Eukaryota; Metazoa; Chordata; Mammalia; Artiodactyla; Bovidae
Also listed under: 2 other names
Rfam family: tRNA
About the family: Transfer RNA (tRNA) molecules are approximately 80 nucleotides in length. Their secondary structure includes four short double-helical elements and three loops (D, anti-codon, and T loops).
Source: Rfam by way of RNAcentral